Caenorhabditis brenneri is the source of this 73-nucleotide non-coding RNA. NCBI's taxonomy places the organism in Eukaryota, Metazoa, Nematoda, Chromadorea, Rhabditida, Rhabditidae. The record is from the annotation of a GenBank genome assembly.
CACCUCAUUGGCCUAGUGGUUAGCGCUUCCGUUUUUGAAUCUCGCGACCCGGGUUCAAUCCCCACUGGGGCCA